CAGCUUUUGUAUAAAGUAACACAAGAAUAACAUUGAGAUGAACUUCCAGUGACUACGUAGGCAACAUGCAUAAAAUUGGAUUUACGAUUGCUCAGCAUGAAACACGACGCCAUGCCAUAGCUUAAGGUACAUCGAAAGAUACAGUGGAAUGCAUCAUUUGCAUUGAAUCAAACCAGCGAGGAUUGUGCUGGGCAGUUUGAGAAUGGCCCCAACAUCUGUGGCAGCCACGCUUUCCUGAAGUCCGUUAUUCCUGGUAGUGUACCAGCGGCCUUCUCCAACGCAUUCACAGACCCUUCCUGAAGUGUGAAGUCCAGAAGUGGCAACAUGGAGCAUCCAGACAGAAUCCUUUCUAUGGUGCAAUAAAAAUCUGUCAGAGUCAACUGGGAAAUACAAAAUCUCUUUAGCCUUCUGAGGAAUUAGAGGUGCUUGUGAGUUUCCUUGGCUGUGGCAAGUUACUGGUGAUGCCCACGUCUAUAAAAGCUGUCAAAUCUCUCAACCUCAAUGGUGUUGAUGUAGGCGGGGGAGUGUGCACUACCCCCUCCCCUUUCUGAAGUCAAUGGCAGCCCUCCCUGUGACAUUGAGGGAACGGUUGCCGUCAUGUCAUCUCGUCACUAAGCUCGCCGUGUCCUUCCUGUACUCUGACACGCCAUUUCUGCCCACUAGUCAGAGCAGAAGCUAGCCACAGGGUGUAGAGUCGGGGGCUGAGGACAAAACCUUGUGUUCAAAAUAAUCGUGACGGAGGUGUUUCUGUCUAUCCUUACUGACUGUAAUCUGUCAGAAAGUCAAAGGGGCAUUUACAAACGGAAGCAUUAACUCCAUAGUCCAGAGUUUGGUGAUGAAUUUGUUUGGAAUAGUAUUGAAGGCAGAACUGUAGUCAUUAAACAAAGGCCUGGCAUUGGUGUCUUUUCUGUC
Molecule: long non-coding RNA, 912 nt
Organism: Hypanus sabinus (Atlantic stingray)
Lineage: Eukaryota; Metazoa; Chordata; Chondrichthyes; Myliobatiformes; Dasyatidae
Exons: 3
Source: RefSeq, a predicted model, not a curated record